Molecule: ribosomal RNA, 508 nt
Filed under: uncultured Desulfobulbus sp.
Lineage: Bacteria; Pseudomonadati; Thermodesulfobacteriota; Desulfobulbia; Desulfobulbales; Desulfobulbaceae
Description: bacterial SSU rRNA
Rfam family: Bacterial small subunit ribosomal RNA
Source: RNAcentral
CGCCAGCCCGCUCAGAAACUACAAAGGAAUUGACGGGGGCCCGCACAAGCGGUGGAGUAUGUGGUUUAAUUCGAUGCAACGCGAAGAACCUUACCUGGUCUUGACAUCCCGGAGACCCUUAGGAAACUAGGGGGUGCUUCCAUCUGGAAGAAUCUGGAGACAGGUGCUGCAUGGCUGUCGUCAGCUCGUGUCGUGAGAUGUUGGGUUAAGUCCCGCAACGAGCGCAACCCUUGCCUUUAGUUGCCAGCAGUUCGGCUGGGCACUCUAAAGGGACUGCCGGUGUUAAACCGGAGGAAGGUGGGGAUGACGUCAAGUCCUCAUGGCCUUUAUGACCAGGGCUACACACGUACUACAAUGGCCGAUACAAAGGGCAGCGACACUGCGAGGUGAAGCCAAUCCCGUAAAAUCGGUCUCAGUCCGGAUUGGAGUCUGCAACUCGACUCCAUGAAGUUGGAAUCGCUAGUAAUCGCGCAUCAGCCAUGGCGCGGUGAAUACGUUCCCGGGCCUU